CAGUCGCCGCGGUAAUACGGAGGGUGCAAGCGUUAAUCGGAAUUACUGGGCGUAAAGCGUGCGUAGGCGGUUCGUUAAGUCUGUUGUGAAAGCCCCGGGCUCAACCUGGGAAUGGCAAUGGAUACUGGCGAGCUAGAGUGUGUCAGAGGAUGGUGGAACUUCCGGUGGGGCGGUGAAAUGCGUUGAGAUCGGAAGGAACGCCCGUGGCGAAAGCGAGGCCCUGGACCCUUACUGACGCUGAGACGCGAAAGCCAGGGGAGCGAACGGGAUUAGAUACCCCGGUAGUCCCUGUCUCUUAUAC
This 301-nucleotide ribosomal RNA is filed under the name uncultured bacterium. RNAcentral describes it as "partial 16S ribosomal RNA". It matches the Rfam family "Bacterial small subunit ribosomal RNA", at positions 509 to 807 of the family's 1533-position model. The record is from RNAcentral.